GAUGAACGCUGGCGGCGUGCUUAACACAUGCAAGUCGAACGAGAAGUGGAGACGGAAACCUUCUGGCGGAAGGCUUUACUUCGAGGGGCGGACGGGUGAGUAACGCGUGGGUAACCUGCCUCAUACAGGGGGAUAACAGUUGGAAACGACUGUUAAUACCGCAUAAGACCACGGCACCGCAUGGUGCGGGGGUAAAAACUCCGGUGGUAUGAGAUGGACCCGCGUUCGAUUAGCAAGUUGGCGGGGUAACGGCCCACCAAAGCGACGAUCGAUAGCCGAGCUGAGAGGAUGACCCGCGACAUUGGGACUGAGACACGGUCCAAACUCCUACGGGAGGGAGGAGUGGGGAAUAUAGCAAAAUGGGGGAAACCCUGAUGGAGCGACGCCGCGUGAGUGAAGAAGUAUUUCGGUAAGUAAAGCUCGAUCAGAAGGGGAGAAAAUGACAGUACCUGAGUAAGAAGCCCCGGCUAACUACGUG
Molecule: ribosomal RNA, 478 nt
Filed under: uncultured bacterium
Lineage: Bacteria
Description: partial 16S ribosomal RNA
Rfam family: Bacterial small subunit ribosomal RNA
Source: RNAcentral